AGGAAGGAAGGAAGGAAAGAAGGAAGGAAGGAAGGAAAGGAAGGAAGGAGAAGAAAGGAAGGAGAAGAAAGGGUGACAGAGAUGAAUGAAUCAAUGUUUAAUAAUCAGCCUGUCCAUCUCUGUUGACCACAGCACUGUUCAGAAAAUCCUAGAAGUGGAACCAACCUAGGUGCCCAUCAGCCAACAGACGGAUAAAGAAAGGUGAUACAUAAACACAGUAGAAUUUCAUCCAUCUAUAAGAAAAUCCAAAUCAUAACAAUGACAGGAAAAACUGAUGGAAGCAAAGAUCAUUGUGUUAAGUGAAACAGGCCAGACUUUAAAACACAGCAUGCCCUUAAUCCCAGCAUUCAUGUGAUAGAGGCAGGGGGAUUUUCAUUAGUUCGAGGCUACAGAGUCUGGCCUACAGAGUAAGUUCCAAGACAGCCAGAGCUAUGCAGAGAGACAUCUCCAAAAGCCAAAAACCAACCAAACAACCAACCAAAAGACCAUGGCAUGCUUUAUCUUAUACUUGGAGACUAAAUUUAAGAUCAUAUGUAUGUAGCUAUCAAUGUGUGUUUGUUCAUGUACGUUUGUAAGACACAAGGUUGAAGUGGGAUUGUGACGAAGAGAUUAUGAUUCAGAGCAGGCAGCCAUGAGUAGGGGCGUGAUGUUCCAGUUAAAGGAAACGGUACAAGCCAGUACUUGGAUGCGAGAUGUGGAUGACGCUGUCAGGGAACAGCAAGCUUUUAGUGUGAUCCAGGGCAUCCAUCACAACGGCGGCUAUAGAUUCCAAGAACACUCAAAUCGAGACAGUAGCAGAAGCAUUAGAAAGCAGUGUGAGCCUUUUGCCGCAUGGCUCACGUGCCUGCCAUUAUCCACCGAUUACCACGGUGUGGGACUCAAUAAAUACUUCAGAAAUGCUGAGGUUACCCAGAGAGAAUGUCAAGAGUGCAAGGAACUGAGGGCUGACCUCCGGAGGAUCCACAUCAGGAAGAGAGAGCCUAAGGAGGCCUCUGAAUGAAACCCAUUGUCAGUCACGAAGCUCCGAGGAAGGGAGGAGACCACGUGGCCAUAGAGACUCAAAGAACAGAGAGAUUCAAGAAAAGAUGAGCAGCUGUCCCUGUCAAAUAUAGAAAAUGAGAAAAAGCAAAGUUAGGAAAUGGCUCGUUCAUUGGCCAACACUGAGGUACCUGGUGAUCUUGGCCUUUCUACCAGAUCUCCGAGGCAAAUGGCCUACUUUUCUCACCUAAAAAUAAAGAUAAGUAGCCCCACA
Molecule: long non-coding RNA, 1252 nt
Filed under: Mus spicilegus (steppe mouse)
Lineage: Eukaryota; Metazoa; Chordata; Mammalia; Rodentia; Muridae
Description: lncRNA (ENSMSIG00000015258.1)
Source: RNAcentral